GACGAACGCUGGCGGCGUGCUUAACACAUGCAAGUCGAACGGAAAGGCCUGCUUUCCCUUGUGGAUUGCGGGUACUCGAGUGGCGAACGGGUGAGUAACACGUGAGUGAUCUGCCCCCAACUUGGGUAUAAGCCUGGGAAACUGGGUCUAAUUCCCGCUAGGCCUGCAGGGUGGUGCCUGUGGUGGAAAACGAUUUUCGAGUGGGUGGGGAUGAGCUCGCGGCGUAUGGGCUUGUUGGUGGGGUAAUGGCCUACCAAGGCGGCGACGGGUAGCCGGCCGGAGAAUGGGGACGGAGACACUGCGCAGACGCCUAGGGGCGGAAGCAGAGGGGAAGCAGGAGCAGGGGGCGGAAGCCUGAGGGAGCGAGGCUGAGGCGGGGAUGACGGGUUUCGGGUGGUGAACUCCUGGCGACCGCGAGGAAGCCACCUGGUUGGAAGGGUAGUGACGGUAGUGGUAGAAGAAGCACCGGCUAACUACGUG
RNAcentral lists this ribosomal RNA (480 nucleotides) under uncultured bacterium. Its description in RNAcentral is "partial 16S ribosomal RNA". It matches the Rfam family "Bacterial small subunit ribosomal RNA", at positions 28 to 507 of the family's 1533-position model. The record is from RNAcentral.